CUAAGCUUUGGCCACACCUAGACUUGAACCAAACACACCCCAAAUGUCUACAUUAGACCUGCAACCCCAAAAGUUGAAACCUUUUUUUCUUUUUUCUUUCUCAUGCCACGCUCAACCAAUUUUCAAUAAUAUAAGGUAGCUAGUAUCGAAGUGUUGCAUAUGCUGGGUGCAUGGAUGUAAUAACUUAAGAAAUAAAGAUGAUACUCGAAGUCGUAAAAGUCCUUGUGGCAUAAGUACCAUGCAAUCCGAUAAUAUAUAAAGCCAGUUUUAAUUGAGGUUUUAUAAGAAAAAUUUAUGAACACUAAAUAAACUAGUGGCAUAGUAUUAAUGAACAG
RNAcentral lists this long non-coding RNA (335 nucleotides) under Sorghum bicolor (sorghum). Its description in RNAcentral is "long non-coding RNA (SBIC_LNC002329)". The record is from RNAcentral. Lineage: Eukaryota; Viridiplantae; Streptophyta; Magnoliopsida; Poales; Poaceae.